CUAAGGAAUUACACAUUGUUCAAAGUAAUUUUAAAAAUCUAUACACUUAGUUUAAACAACAUGGACUUUAAAUGGUUUAUAAGAACUCAUCGUUUCACAUUAAGGAACAUACUGAAGUAUUUAGGGAGAUUUAACUUUAGCAAACAAAUAUUUUUUCCCCACAGUAAGUAAAGUUAGCCAAAAAAAGCACAAAACUUUGUAAAUUAAAAAUCAGUAUGUGCAUAUUUCACAAACUGACUAAACUUAAAAUGUUCUACAGUAAUACCAUUUCAAGAUGAAAUAACCAGAAACAAAACGCUUUUCCCCUUAAAUCGCUCAACAAUAGUUUUACACCAUGUCGACAUGGAACACUUGCAAUAUACACCAAUCAAUCAAUGAUUUCUUUCAGUUAGGAAUAUUUAAAUGGUUAAUUUGGUUCACGUAAAUUAAUCGUUUAAUAUUGCAGACAAAUGAAAUAUAUUGAUUGAUUUGUGAUAGAAAUUACAAGUAAGCAUAGCAACACCAAAAAGCUAGUUUCCAAAACAAAUAGUUUUUACAGCCGUGCAUGGCAGGCAGGCAGGCAGCGCAAAGGCAGGCAGGAGCGCCUGGCAGGUAAACAGCACACAGGCAGGCAAUGUGCUGCAGAGCAUGUUAAAAAAAAAUUAAAAAGAAGAGGAGAAAAAAGGAGGAGACACAAGAAAGGAGAGAACCAAUGAAGGCGUCCUCUCAUGAUGUUAAAGGUGAUUUUGGUACGUAUAAUGGUAAGACGAUAAGAAGGGCAUAGAAUUGGCCUAGAACUUAAGUAUAUAGUCUAUGACAGUUUGACUUGGCUGUCAUAGUCCAGUUGAAAGCUAGAAGUGAGGAAGACGCUCGAGAUGAUGACACAAGGUCUAAGAGGUACCAGUCAGUGAGGUUUACCAGAAGUACACGGAGUGCCAACAGGUUAAGUAUCAUGAGCUCACCAUGUGUAAGUUUUGGUGAGGUCGGGGUAGGUAUACACACCAAUAACCAAAGUUUCCCUUUGCAGCCAAUAACCAAAGUUUCCCUUUGCAGCCAAUAACCAAAGUUUCCCUUUACAGCCAAUAACCAAAGUUUCCCUUCGCAGCCAAUAACCAAAGUUUCCCUUUACAGCCAUUAACCAAAAUUUCCCUUUACAGCCAUUAACCAAAGUUUCCCUUUACAGCCAUUAACCAAAGUUUCCCUUUACAGCCAUUAACCAAAGUUUCCCUUUACAGCCAUUAACCAAAGUUUCCCUUUACAGCCAUUAACCAAAGUUUCCCUUUACAGCCAUUAACCAAAGUUUCCCUUCACAGCCAUUAACCAAAGUUUCCCUUUACAGCCAAUAACCAAAGUUUCCCUUUAAUAAUACUAAUAAUAUCGAAGUCUUAUAUAGCGCACGUAUCUACCAAACAAGGUACUCAAGGCGCUGAGUGUAUACAAACUUUCAGAAAGAUAGGUUAUUGCAGCCAUUAACCAAAGUUUCCAUUCCCAGUGAAUAACCAAAGUUUCCCUUUACAGCCAAUAACCAAAGUUUCCCUUUACAGCCAUUAACCAAAGUUUCCAUUCCCAGUGAAUAACCAAACUUUCCCUUUACAGCCAAUAACCCAAGUUUCCCUUUACAGCCAAUAACCAAAGUUUCCGUUCACAGCCAAUAACCAAAGUUUCCGUUCACAGCCAUUAACCAAAGUUUCCCUUCACAGCCAAUAACCAAAGUUUCGAUUCACAGCCAGUAACCAAAGUUUCCCUUCACAGUCAUUAACCAAAGUUUCCCUUCACAGCCAUUAACCAAACUUUCCCUUUGCAGCCAAUAACCAAUUUUCUCGUCCAACUAUCACCAUAUUUUUUCUUUACUGCCAAUAAAACCACAAUUUGUUUGUUUUCUUGCAGAUCACACAUCUUCAGGCCUAGCAAGCAUUUUGGUAGUGUAUAAAUUUAUAAACAAUUUAACUUUUGACUGGAAGUGAAAUACCCCAGGAGAGCUUUUACACACUUUCCCUCACCCAAGCUCCUUGGAUGUUAUUACCUGUCCAAAUAAUUGAAAGAAGUCAUGCAAAAAUCUCCCACACAUUUGGCUCAAAAUUUGCAAAAGGACUAACAAAAGUGAUUUCAAUAACUUCCUAAAGGUCUUGGUGAUUAGAAACAUUUUGAUGGCUUUCAAACUUCAAAAGUUUUGAAAUUAUUCUACCAAUUCUCUCUCCCACCUCAAGUUGUUGGGAUUUUAAAUGAUACAAACAGUUGGAAAUAAUAGUCAAAAUUAUUUAUCUCGAUUAUCUUUUAACAACAGUAGAUCGGAGUUCAAUUUUGUUGGUAAACAUGGUUUACAUCUAUCAAUUUGUUAACUUGUCUUCAGUACUUCUUCAUUUGCAGAUACAGAGAUGAUGCUACUCACUUAUGCAGUCUGGCAGUUUGAACUUCAGGAAUGGCAAGGAGUUUGGUAAUGUAUCAUUCUAUAAUCUAAAGAAGUAGUCCUGGCAAUUUUCUAUACCUUCCGGCCAAGUUAAAAAGCAGGACAGCCUGAGAAGUCUCCCGAACAUCUGAUUAAUCUACUCCGCAGUAUUAGAAUAAAGAAAGAAAGUUCUCUAAGAACACAUUGGACAUAAAAUCUUCAAAGGACUAAACUGAUAGCACCUUCCUUGUGUUUAGAAAAGUUUAGAUUAAAUUUUAUUGGUUGCUUGGGUUCAAACUUUUCAAAGAAUUAGUGUUGUUCUACAAAACUCUUUUCUCUCUCUCUGUCUCUCUCCGUCAUCUCUCCGUCAUCUCAAGUUUUUAGAAUAUUAAAGGAUACAAACAAUUUCAAACAGUGGUCACAGUUGUUAACUGCAUAUGUAUUAUUUCCUAUUGUCUUCAGAUACAUUCUUCAUUUGCACGGAUACCAUUUGUUGAUGCAGUCUUGCAGUUUGAACUUCAGGCAUGGCAAGAAAUUUGAUGCCAGAAGUGAUGAACUACCAUUCGUUGAUGUAGUUUGGCAGUUUGAACUCAAGGCGUGGUAAUGAAUUUGGUAAUGUAUCAAUUUAUGUUACAAGGUACAGUUCGACUUGAAGUGAAUUACCACAAAAGAGCUUUUACAAAUUGUCUCCCACCCCAAGCUGCUUGGGCAUUUGCACAACUGAUUGGAAGGAAAAAUUUACAAAUUAAAUCUACUACACAUGAUGGACUUGUCAUCUUCAAAAGACAACUUCACUGAUUUAACUUUUUAUCAAUGUUUUGUUGUAAGACAAAUUUGGAUUGAAUUUGAGAAAGUUUCUUUCACUAACUGGAAGAUAUUCUACUGAGUAUAAUAAUCAUCUCAAGUAGUUUUGAUGUAAAUAGAUACAAACAACUGGAAACAAUAUUUGUCAAAGAUUUAUCUCACAGCCAUUGGUCAGAAAGAUUACACUUUAUGAACAUAUCCAAGUUCAAUUUUUGUUUAUUAAAAUGGUUUAUAACUAUCAACUUGUUACUUGUCUUCAGAACUUCUUUAUUUGCACAGAUACCAGAAGGGUGAACUGCUACUCACUGAUGCAGUCUGGCAGUUUGAACUUCAGGAAUGGCAAGGAAUUUGGUAAUGUAUCAGUUUAUGUUACAAAGUAAAGUUUGACAUGAAGUCAAUUACCAAAAGAGAGUUUUUACAAAAUGUCUCUCUUUCCAAGUUGUGGAAGCAGUGAUCAAAUAAAUUUGAUCUCCUACUUAUUGGACUUGAAAUCUUCAACUUAGAUGAGUAAUUAAUUACUCCGCGAUGAUGCAGGCUGGUAGUUAAAUCUUAGGCACAGCAAGGAACUUAGUAGUGGAUCGAUUAAAGUUAGAAGGCAAAGUUUGACAAGAAAUACCGCAACACAAGACAGCUUUCCUGAACUGUGUGUCAGGUUCGUCCCUGUAAGGGGGAAAACACCACCGAGCCAGUUCCAAACCUGCCACAUUGGCUCAAGACAAUGUUAAGAAACGCGGUCUUCUUUAGAGAUGCAGUAGAAUCAUGUCAGACCAGAGCUGAGUGACCAGAGUUAUAAAGUGGUCGUGCUCUUAAUUACUUUGCACCCCUCAUUGACCCUACGCAUCAUUGGUUAUCAAAGAAAGGGGAAACGAAGAACGUGCGUCUUCUGUGCACCAACAAAGAUUUAUUUUGAAACACCUGGCCACAUACUUGGGCCAUAUUUAUUCUUAGCAAGGAAUUCACUGCAAGCCAAAGCUGCUUGGAUAUUUUAUUGGUACAAACGAUGGAAAUAAUCUUUAUAAAAAAAAGGGAAAUCUUCGUCUAAUUGGACUGAAAUUCUUCAAAGGAGCAACUAAACUGAUGAGAUGCUUGAGAUGCUUGCUAGAAAAGUGUGUAUGGAAUAUUAUUAGUUCUGAAUUGCUUCCCAAAAUCUGAACAUUUUUCGACAAAUGUUGUUAAACAAUUUUACUUUGUUUCAUUUCCCUGCAGUUUCCUGGUGCAUGAUGGCGAUCUAAGUGGCGAACCCGACUGUGAAGUGCAUCUAUGUUUGUGUUCAUAGUACAAACGCCUACAGCGAGGGAGCCUUAGUUACUCCACUGUCUACACCCUGUCUCUUAUACAGAUUGGACAAGAGUCUUGGAAGAUAACAUCAGCCUGAGAUGACAACAGAGAUGCAGGGAAGGCUCUGGCUGGAUUGAGAAUCAUGCAACCAAGAGCUGAAGACUGACUGGAGCAAGUCUAAUCAAGAUAACGAUCAGCAUCAUCCGGAUCACAAGGGCCACACUAUGCGCCUCUCUUGACAUCUAUGCAUGAGGUACAUCACAAUGCUAACCCAAAACGAGGCUAUGGGCGCAGCCACUCCAAGUGGUGGCGGAGGUGCGUCUAUAGCCUCAUUUUUUAGUCGAAUUAUGACGUCAUGCAUAGAUAUUAAGAGAGGCGUAUAACCGGAAGUGACAUCCAGGGCCCAAUUUCAUAAAGCCAGAAAGCAGAAAAAGUUGCUACGCACAGAAUAUUAAUGCUCAGCAGAAACAGGCUACCAGCCAAAAGUUUGCACUGCUGUGGCUGGUGCCCCAUUCACUUCUUGCUUGUCAAACAAAUUUGUCAAGCAGUAACUUCUACUUAACAGCUUUAUGAAAUUGGGCCCUGAGACUUUGGCUGUAUCCGAAUUUGCAGCUAUGAUUCCGGCUGCGACUGUAAUAAACAGUGUUUUUCAAUGCAUGAUGAUGCGUAAAGCUAGCCGUAGCCAGAGCUGUAGACACCAAUUCGGACACAGCCUUGUGAACCUAUAGCCAUUUAUCAAGUUGUGGCCAUCUUGUUCCCCUGAUCAAUUCACAUAACUAGCCAAACGGAGGCUUGGAUGAAAUAAACGUGCCCCUCUAUACGCAAUGAGAAUUAGACCUUUGACAUUCAGCGUGCACAGUGCAAACAGGGAACUAGAUGGUCAAAACAUAACAAAAGCCCAUUAUGUUUUAAGAUAAGGUUAUUAAAAUGUACUCUGUUUAAGAAUUAUGUAAGUAUGUAUCUAGUGCGAACUUUAAAAAACUCUACUUCAGUUUGUAAUCUGAUUAUAGUAUUGGUGCAAGAGGCUGGUUCAGGGCUACUAGCGAAUGCUUUAAAAUGGUGAAGUUGUUGUGAUGCCUAUGCAUUGUGAGACACUACCAAAAACGUGAAAAAAACUUCUUGCACCAAGACAUGAACUUGUUUGAUAUUAUGCACUUCUGUAAAUAGACAAUGCAAGUCUCGCGCUGAUUUUAACAUUGGCACCAAAAGUGCACAAAUUUGUUUCCUUCAUGUGUUGAAGCAAUGCAUGUUGAACCAACCAGGUCCCAAGUCAGUUUGAUAAUGCGUGAGACUUGCACAGUCUAUUAUACCCAUGUUUUUCCCCUUAUUAGGAGGGUUUGUGGUUUUCCCCCAUCCCGAUAUCAGCAAUCAAAGGCUAUUUACCAAUUAAGUUUUUAUGGUCUUUAAUUUUUGAAGUAACUACCAAAAGUAACUCCCUUUCAACACAUGCAUAAUCAAUGUGUAGUAAAUUUAAGUAAGAGUAAAUAUUAAAUGUUUUAUACCAUCAACCUCUCCACAUUACUCGUUACCAAGUUAGGUUUUGUGCUAAUAAAUAUUUUGAG
This is a long non-coding RNA of Asterias rubens (European starfish), 6009 nucleotides long. RefSeq lists it as uncharacterized. Lineage: Eukaryota; Metazoa; Echinodermata; Asteroidea; Forcipulatida; Asteriidae. The transcript has 3 exons. The record is from RefSeq and is a predicted model, not a curated record.